This 301-nucleotide unclassified non-coding RNA is filed under the name Hevea brasiliensis (rubber tree). Lineage: Eukaryota; Viridiplantae; Streptophyta; Magnoliopsida; Malpighiales; Euphorbiaceae. The record is from RNAcentral.
GGCCGUUCCUGCCAGUGUUCGUAAAGCUGGGACGGCAGCUCGACGAAAUCGGUGAACACGCUGGUGCCCGACAGCGACGGGUACAUCACGUUCGACAGCAUGCCAUGCAGCCCGUGGCCGAAUUCGUGGAACAGGGUACGGGCGUCGUCGGGCGACAGCAGCGACGGCUGGCCGUCGGUGCCCUUGGAGAAAUUGCAGACAUUGAUGACCAGCGGCGCGACAUCGCCAUCAAGUUUCUGCUGGUCGCGCAGCGACGUCAUCCACGCGCCGGAACGCUUGGAGGGCCGCGCGAAGUAGUCGC